UGGGGAAUAUUGGACAAUGGGCGCAAGCCUGAUCCAGCAAUGCCGCGUGGGUGAAGAAGGCCUUCGGGUUGUAAAGCCCUUUUGUACGGGAAGAAAUCCUGUCGGUUAAUACCCGGCGGGGAUGACGGUACCGUAAGAAUAAGCACCGGCUAACUUCGGGCCAGCAGCCGCGGUAAUACGAAGGGUGCAAGCGUUAAUCGGAAUUACUGGGCGUAAAGCGUGCGUAGGUGGUGGUUUAAGUCUGCUGUGAAAGCCCUGGGCUCAACCUGGGAAUUGCAGUGGAUACUGGAUCACUAGAGUGUGGUAGAGGGAUGCGGAAUUUCUGGUGUAGCAGUGAAAUGCGUAGAGAUCAGAAGGAACAUCCGUGGCGAAGGCGGCAUCCUGGGCCAACACUGACACUGAGGCACGAAAGCGUGGGGAGCAAA
This 425-nucleotide ribosomal RNA is filed under the name uncultured bacterium. RNAcentral's name for it is "bacterial SSU rRNA". It matches the Rfam family "Bacterial small subunit ribosomal RNA", at positions 355 to 772 of the family's 1533-position model. The record is from RNAcentral.